RNAcentral lists this ribosomal RNA (301 nucleotides) under uncultured bacterium. RNAcentral describes it as "partial 16S ribosomal RNA". It matches the Rfam family "Bacterial small subunit ribosomal RNA", at positions 509 to 807 of the family's 1533-position model. The record is from RNAcentral.
CAGUAGCCACGGGAAUACGAAGGGGGCUAGCGUUGCUCGGAAUGACUGGGCGUAAAGGGCGCGUAGGCGGCGAUCAAAGUCAGGCGUGAAAUUCCUGGGCUCAACCUGGGGGCUGCGCUUGAUACUUGGUUGCUUGAGUGGGGAAGAGGGUCGUGGAAUUCCCAGUGUAGAGGUGAAAUUCGUAGAUAUUGGGAAGAACACCGGUGGCGAAGGCGGCGACCUGGUCCUUGACUGACGCUGAGGCGCGAAAGCGUGGGGAGCAAACAGGAUUAGAGACCCCAGUAGUCCCUGUCUCUUAUAC